Long non-coding RNA from Hibiscus syriacus, 169 nucleotides. RefSeq lists it as uncharacterized. NCBI's taxonomy places the organism in Eukaryota, Viridiplantae, Streptophyta, Magnoliopsida, Malvales, Malvaceae. The transcript has 3 exons. The record is from RefSeq and is a predicted model, not a curated record.
AAUUUCUGAUGCAAUGCAUCGUGUUCCUGCAGACCAUGAAAUUUCCUUCACCUUGAAUCUUUACCCAGAUGGCUAUUCUAUUGGAAAGCCCCAAGAGGAAGCUUUGCAUCCUGUUCCGGAUGCUCCAAAUUUGCAUCCAUAUGAUAGGUCAUCUGAAACUCUCUUUUCA